UUUUUUCAGAAAACCUGCGCAUGUGAUGUUAGAAGAAGAAGUAAAGAGAUUGAAAGAAUAAAACUGCUGAAUGUCAAACUCACAAGGACUUACUGAAAUUCAGGACAAAAUCCAAAUUCAGAAAGUACAAUAGCAUGGAGAAACUGAGCAGUCUGAAUUGGAAAUCAUAAUUUUGAGAUAUGGAGAUAAUGAAGGAGGCACUUGGGAGCUGGCCCAGCAAGUGCUUGCAUUCAUACCAUGUUCAACUCUGAGCCUGGGCACUCUGUACCACUGCACCAGUUAAGGGUCUGUGAGGAAUAUUUCUGCUAUAAAUCUGGAAGAUUAUAUCUCUGUCUUCUCAUAUUGCAUCAUCCUGAAACCUGACAAGUUGUCAGUGGAGAGGCAAUUAUUUCUACCAAAACAUGGAGAACAUAAUGUACAUUUCUAAGAAUGGACUGCUGGAGAAAUGGUUGACUCCCUUCCUCCCAAACCUGGCAUAAUUGAAAAAGCCAAGAGAGAAUAAGUAUUGCCUGAACUCUUAUAGCUCUAAUAAUUU
Long non-coding RNA from Hirundo rustica (Barn swallow), 535 nucleotides. RefSeq lists it as uncharacterized. NCBI's taxonomy places the organism in Eukaryota, Metazoa, Chordata, Aves, Passeriformes, Hirundinidae. The record is from RefSeq and is a predicted model, not a curated record. The transcript is spliced from 4 exons.